RNAcentral lists this ribosomal RNA (252 nucleotides) under uncultured bacterium. RNAcentral describes it as "partial 16S ribosomal RNA". It matches the Rfam family "Bacterial small subunit ribosomal RNA", at positions 524 to 776 of the family's 1533-position model. The record is from RNAcentral.
UACGGAGGGUGCAAGCGUUAUCCGGAUUUACUGGGUUUAAAGGGAGCGCAGGCGGAUUGGUAAGUCAGUGGUGAAAUACCCGUGCUUAACAUGGGAACUGCCAUUGAUACUAUCAGUCUUGAAUGUUGUUGAGGUUUGCGGAAUGGGUCAUGUAGCGGUGAAAUGCAUAGAUAUGACCCGGAACACCUAUUGCGAAGGCAGCAGGCUAAACAAAUAUUGACGCUGAGGCUCGAAGCGUGGGGAUCAAACAGG